Molecule: ribosomal RNA, 904 nt
Filed under: Nectria pyrosphaera
Lineage: Eukaryota; Fungi; Ascomycota; Sordariomycetes; Hypocreales; Nectriaceae
Description: LSU rRNA
Rfam family: Eukaryotic large subunit ribosomal RNA
Source: RNAcentral
UCAUAUCAAUAAGCGGAGGAAAAGAAACCAACAGGGAUUGCCUCAGUAACGGCGAGUGAAGCGGCAACAGCUCAAAUUUGAAAUCUGGCCCUAGGCCCGAGUUGUAAUUUGCAGAGGAUGUUUCUGGCGAGGUGCCUUCCGAGUGCCCUGGAACGGGACGCCAUAGAGGGUGAGAGCCCCGUACGGUUGGUCGCUAAGCCUCUGUGAAACUCCUUCGACGAGUCGAGUAGUUUGGGAAUGCUGCUCUAAAUGGGAGGUAUACGUCUUCUAAAGCUAAAUACCGGCCAGAGACCGAUAGCGCACAAGUAGAGUGAUCGAAAGAUGAAAAGCACUUUGAAAAGAGGGUUAAAUAGUACGUGAAAUUGUUGAAAGGGAAGCGCUCAUGACCAGACUUGGGCCGGUUGAUCAUCCGCCGUUCUCGGCGGUGCACUCUGCCGGCUCAGGCCAGCAUCAGUUUGGUCCGGGGGAUAAAGGUGUAGGGAAUGUGGCUCCCCCCGGGGAGUGUUAUAGCCCUGCGCGUAAUACCCUGGACUGGACUGAGGUUCGCGCAUCUGCAAGGAUGCUGGCGUAAUGGUUAUCAGUGACCCGUCUUGAAACACGGACCAAGGAGUCGUCUUCGUAUGCGAGUGUUCGGGUGUCAAACCCCUACGCGUAAUGAAAGUGAACGUAGGAGAGAGCUUCGGCGCAUCUCCGACCGAUCCUGAUGUUCUCGGAUGGAUUUGAGUAAGAGCAUACGGGGCCGGACCCGAAAGAAGGUGAACUAUGCCUGUAUAGGGUGAAGCCAGAGGAAACUCUGGUGGAGGCUCGCAGCGGUUCUGACGUGCAAAUCGAUCGUCAAAUAUGGGCAUGGGGGCGAAAGACUAAUCGAACCUUCUAGUAGCUGGUUUCCGCCGAAGUUUCCCUC